GGGAAACACGAUCCUGGGAGAAGACUAAUUGCCAGACUGUCUGUGUUGGUAAUGGAGGAGUGGAACCUUUUUUGGUAGCAGCGAUCAUAAAAAUGCAAUUCAUCUUUUUUUUAGAGUAAUAAUUUCCUUUUCCCCUCAAAAGGAAUGCAAACAACAUAGGAAGCCACAAGGCCCUGGUCCUGCUAUUGGGAGGAAUGAGGCAAUGGACCAGGAGGGAUAGGAGAUUACGGCCUCCUUUGAAGCUCUGCCAAGCCCCAGGCCCGAAAGAGGAACCUCCGUGCCUCACUUUAACAUUUCAGAGAGACUUUAGAAGCUGUUUUGGCUCUUCUCAAGAUUCCAAGUAGGAGGAUGCCAGGUGAAGUACCUUUACAAAUGAGAUGGAGCAGUUACUGGAGAAAGGUCAAAUGGAAGCUUGGAAAGCAUAUCAGGGGGCAGUUUCAUUAAGGUUUCUCCACAUAAUCUACCCCCUCAAUCUACCUGUCACUGAAGAUGUGUCCACAUAACAGAGAUCCCAUCUUGCUAGAAGAAGCUGAAACCAGUCCAAGGUGAUCUAGCAGGAAAAAGCUUUUCCAUAAGAAAAGACCACAUCUUGUCUGGUAGAAGAACUAUGAAACUUUAUGGUUGGCAGAAUGACUACACAGCUCUCUUUCUUUUUUCUUUUUUUAUUUGGUCAGUGACCUUAGUGCAGCCAAAAUACAAUUUUCCACAAAGUUGAUAUGUCCAUUAGAAAGCAGAACAUGUGUGUGUGUGUGUGGAAAGUGAGGGAGUUGUGACUGGAAAUCUCAUUUCUUUUUCACCCAUCUCCAUUAGUCAAAGUUUUGGAGAAAAAGUUUAAAAAUUUAACUGUGAUAAGCAAGAGUGUGUAUUUGGAGCAGAACAUCUAGCACAACCUAGUUUCUUUUUAUUGUUCUUUAAGGGUAUUUGGAUUGAUUUAAGAUGAGAAAUGGAGUAUGACAUUGAAGGGCAAGGCAUUCACUGUACUCUCCAAAAUCCCUCAUCAUUAAAAUAGAACUGAUUUUUCCCCUGGGGAUUUUAUGGAGUUAAAUAAAUAUCUUAUGUAGUAAUUUUUGGAGAAAAAUAAAGGGCUGAAUGGUUUAAAAGCCUUAAUUUUAAAUCAUUCAGUCCUUUAUCAAUCCAAAAUUCCCAGACAUUUUUUCCCCCUGCACAUUCUAUUUCAACAAUACACAUUUCCUUAUUUGGCAACUGAGCAAUCCACUAAAUGUAGUUUGGCCUGUGAGGUACUGAAUUACACAAUGGAAAAUGAAGGUCAACUUACUCUGGUAUCAACCUUUCCUGAUUUUUUUUCCUCCCUCACUAGUAUUGGCUUAAAUCUGGCCACUGAUUCUUUUUUCUCCAUUAUCAUCAAGAGCAGGGUAGAAAAAUGGAGAUUUUUUUGAAUGCUAACUUAAAAGUU
Long non-coding RNA from Crotalus tigris (Tiger rattlesnake), 1414 nucleotides. RefSeq lists it as uncharacterized. Lineage: Eukaryota; Metazoa; Chordata; Lepidosauria; Squamata; Viperidae. The transcript has 4 exons. The record is from RefSeq and is a predicted model, not a curated record.